GACGAACGCUGGCGGCGUGCCUAAUACGUGCAAGUUGAGCGCUGAAGGUUGGUACUUGUACCGACUGGAUGAGCAGCGAACGGGUGAGUAACGCGUGGGGAAUCUGCCUUUGAGCGGGGGACAACAUUUGGAAACGAAUGCUAAUACCGCAUAAAAACUUUAAACACAAGUUUUAAGUUUGAAAGAUGCAAUUGCAUCACUCAAAGAUGAUCCCGCGUUGUAUUAGCUAGUUGGUGAGGUAAAGGCUCACCAAGGCGAUGAUACAUAGCCGACCUGAGAGGGUGAUCGGCCACAUUGGGACUGAGACACGGCCCAAACUCCUACGGGAGGCAGCAGUAGGGAAUCUUCGGCAAUGGACGAAAGUCUGACCGAGCAACGCCGCGGGAGUGAAGAAGGUUUUCGGAUCGUAAAACUCUGUUGGUAGAGAAGAACGUUGGUGAGAGUGGAAAGCUCAUCAAGUGACGGUAACUACCCAGAAAGGGACGGCUAACUACGUG
Molecule: ribosomal RNA, 497 nt
Filed under: uncultured bacterium
Lineage: Bacteria
Description: partial 16S ribosomal RNA
Rfam family: Bacterial small subunit ribosomal RNA
Source: RNAcentral